Molecule: ribosomal RNA, 223 nt
Filed under: uncultured bacterium
Lineage: Bacteria
Description: partial 16S ribosomal RNA
Rfam family: Bacterial small subunit ribosomal RNA
Source: RNAcentral
GACGAACGCUGGCGGCGUGCUUAACACAUGCAAGUCGAGCGGUAAGGCCCUUUCGGGGUACGACGAGCGGCGAACGGGUGAGUAACACGUGGGUGACCUGCCCUCAGCUCUGGGAUAAGCCUGGGAAACUGGGUCUAAUACUGGAUAUGACUCCACGGUGCAUGUCGUGGGGUGGAAAGCCUUGUGCGGCUGAGGAUGGGCCCGCGGCCUAUCAGCUUGUUGG